AUUGAACGCUGGCGGCAUGCCUUACACAUGCAAGUCGAACGGCAGCACGGGUGCUUGCACCUGGUGGCGAGUGGCGAACGGGUGAGUAAUACAUCGGAACAUGUCCUGUAGUGGGGGAUAGCCCGGCGAAAGCCGGAUUAAUACCGCAUACGAUCUACGGAUGAAAGCGGGGGACCUUCGGGCCUCGCGCUAUAGGGUUGGCCGAUGGCUGAUUAGCUAGUUGGUGGGGUAAAGGCCUACCAAGGCGACGAUCAGUAGCUGGUCUGAGAGGACGACCAGCCACACUGAGACUGAGACACGGCCCAGACUCCUACGGGAGGCAGCAGUGGGGAAUUUUGGACAAGGGGCGAAAGCCUGAUCCAGCAAUGCCGCGUGUGGGAAGAAGGCCUUCGGGUUGUAAAGCACUUUUGUCCGGAAAGAAAUCCUUGGCCCUAAUACGGUCGGGGGAUGACGGUACCGGAAGAAUAAGCACCGGCUAACUACGUG
This 486-nucleotide ribosomal RNA is filed under the name uncultured bacterium. Its description in RNAcentral is "partial 16S ribosomal RNA". It matches the Rfam family "Bacterial small subunit ribosomal RNA", at positions 30 to 507 of the family's 1533-position model. The record is from RNAcentral.